Molecule: ribosomal RNA, 256 nt
Filed under: uncultured bacterium
Lineage: Bacteria
Description: partial 16S ribosomal RNA
Rfam family: Bacterial small subunit ribosomal RNA
Source: RNAcentral
CGUAGGGCGAAGCGUUAUCCGGAUUUACUUGGGUGUAAAGGGAGCGUAGACGGUGUGGCAAGUCUGAUGUGAAAGGACAUGGGCUCAACCUGUGGACUGCAUUGGAAACUGUCAUACUUGAGUGCCGGAGGGGUAAGCGGAAUUCCUAGUGUAGCGGUGAAAUGCGUAGAUAUUAGGAGGAACACCAGUGGCGAAGGCGGCUUACUGGACGGUAACUGACGUUGAGGCUCGAAAAGCGUGGGGAGCAAACAGGAUU